Molecule: ribosomal RNA, 497 nt
Filed under: uncultured bacterium
Lineage: Bacteria
Description: partial 16S ribosomal RNA
Rfam family: Bacterial small subunit ribosomal RNA
Source: RNAcentral
GAUGAACGCUGGCGGCGUGCCUAAUACAUGCAAGUCGAGCGAAAAGACGAAGAUCGUGCUCCUCUUACGUUAGCGACGGACGGGUGAGUAACUCGUGGAUAACCUACCUAUAAGACUGGGAUAACUUCGGGAAACCGGAGCUAAUACCGGAUAAUAUAUUGAACCGCAUGGUUCAAUAGUGAAAGACGGUUUUGCUGUCACUUAUAGAUGGAUCCGCGCCGCAUUAGCUAGUUGGUAAGGUAACGGCUUACCAAGGCAACGAUGCGUAGCCGACCUGAGAGGGUGAUCGGCCACACUGGAACUGAGACACGGUCCAGACUCCUACGGGAGGCAGCAGUAGGGAAUCUUCCGCAAUGGGCGAAAGCUUGACGGAGCAACGCCGCGUGAGUGAUGAAGGUCUUCGGAUCGUAAAACUCUGUUAUUAGGGAAGAACAAAUGUGUAAGUAACUAUGCACGUAUUGACGGUACCUAAUCAGAAAGCCACGGCUAACUACGUG